Molecule: transfer RNA, 76 nt
Filed under: Tissierellia bacterium
Lineage: Bacteria; Bacillati; Bacillota; Tissierellia
Description: tRNA-Pro
Rfam family: tRNA
About the family: Transfer RNA (tRNA) molecules are approximately 80 nucleotides in length. Their secondary structure includes four short double-helical elements and three loops (D, anti-codon, and T loops). Further hydrogen bonds mediate the characteristic L-shaped molecular structure. tRNAs have two regions of fundamental functional importance: the anti-codon, which is responsible for specific mRNA codon recognition, and the 3' end, to which the tRNAs corresponding amino acid is attached (by aminoacyl-tRNA synthetases). tRNAs cope with the degeneracy of the genetic code in two manners: having more than one tRNA (with a specific anti-codon) for a particular amino acid; and 'wobble' base-pairing, i.e. permitting non-standard base-pairing at the 3rd anti-codon position.
Source: RNAcentral
CGGGGUGUGGCGCAGCUGGUAGCGUGCUUGAAUGGGGUUCAAGAGGUCGCAGGUUCGACUCCUGUCACUCCGACCA